GAACCGUCCAAACGUUAUUCGGAAUCACUGGGCUUACAGAGUUCGUAGGCGGCGGAGAAAGUAGGGUGUGAAAGCCCUCGGCUUAACCGAGGAAUUGCGCCCUAAACUACUUCGCUUGAGGAGGCUAGAGGUGAGCAGAACUGAUGGUGGAGCGGUGAAAUGCGUUGAUAUCAUCAGGAAUACCGGAGGCGAAAGCGGCUCACUGGGACCUUUCUGACGCUGAGGAACGAAAGCUAGGGGAGCGAACGGGAUUAGAUACCCCGGUAGUCCUAGCCGUAAACGAUGAGCACUAGACCGGAGUUCUGCACAGGAUUUCGGUCGUAGCGAAAGUGUUAAGUGCUCCGCCUGGGGAGUAUGGUCGCAAGGCUGAA
This 371-nucleotide ribosomal RNA is filed under the name uncultured bacterium. RNAcentral's name for it is "bacterial SSU rRNA". It matches the Rfam family "Bacterial small subunit ribosomal RNA", at positions 527 to 898 of the family's 1533-position model. The record is from RNAcentral.